AUAGAAAGGAGAGGCACCAGUGUGUGCGGGAAGGGCCUUGAAAACAAACUCCAAAGAAACGCAGGCCAGCAGCAAGAAUCUCCAUCCACAUGGAUAGCGUAAAACCAGGGAGGGACGCAAGGAAGGAAAGCGUGUUCACAAGAAACAGGAACACAAGAAAAUAAAAGACAGAUCCAGGAAAGAGGAAGAAGAGUGGCAAGGAAGGAAGUUCAAAGAACUGGAGAAAGGGUGGGGAAGAAAGAGGAUCUCCCAGGUCUCACCUUGCAAUAUCAAGUUUCCUUCCAGAAGUGAAGUUACCAUCAGCUGAGAGAACUCCAUCCUGGGACAUAUCCGUGCACAUACUGGUGGUGAAGAAUGAAGUCUCAGUUUUGUGUCAAUGAAUGGCCUGGGACUUAGAGGUUUAAGCCACCUCAUUAAAGUUAUGUUAACUUUAUUUUUGGCAUAAGAGUGAAUUUUUUUUUCAUUUACUUCUGAUGUUCACUUAGCAAAGACAGAGUAUGAGAAAUUUUCCUGAGGUGAGGAGGACAUUUGAGACAGUGUAGACAAAAGACUAUUUCUGCUCAAAAGAACAUCUGAGACACAAAGACAGAAGUUAGAGGCCAUCGCUCAAAUGGAAGAGAGAUUUUAAAAGCCCUGAUUAUCAUAGAAACAUACACUUGAGGACCUUCCACAAAUAUAAUUCAAUCUGAAAGCCUUUUUCAAGGUUAAUGAGUAUCAGUGAAAGUUAUAAAUUAAAUGUUUUUAAAAUAUAAGCUUGACCGUUUUUAAUCAAGCUAAAAGAGCUAUUUCAAUUUUCUAUGAAA
This 803-nucleotide long non-coding RNA is filed under the name Homo sapiens (human). RNAcentral's name for it is "HSALNT0395177". Lineage: Eukaryota; Metazoa; Chordata; Mammalia; Primates; Hominidae. The record is from RNAcentral.